Amphimedon queenslandica is the source of this 219-nucleotide long non-coding RNA. RefSeq lists it as uncharacterized. The record is from RefSeq and is a predicted model, not a curated record. NCBI's taxonomy places the organism in Eukaryota, Metazoa, Porifera, Demospongiae, Haplosclerida, Niphatidae. The transcript is spliced from 4 exons.
UAUAUCUUUUUUAGUGCGGUUAACUACUCAUAAUCAAGAAACAGUUUGUUCCAAGGACAUUAGCGUAUUUGAGAAAAGGAUGUGUUGAGACUUGCAGUAAUGUAAUGUGUCACCAUUUUCUUGAUGCAUCAAGCUUAGGAGAUAUUGACUUCAUCAAUGAGUCUUGCAUUCAAACUUGUUGUCUUUCAAGAUCUGAAGAUCAGGGCAUGAACAUGUAUA